CCUACGGGUGGCAGCAGUGAGGAAUAUUGGUCAAUGGACGAGAGGCUGAACCAGCCAAGUCGCGUGAGGGAAGACGGCCCUACGGAUUGUAAACCUCUUUUGUCGGGGAGUAAAAGACUCCACGCGUGGCAUUCCGAGUGUACCCGAAGAAAAAGCAUCGGCUAACUCCGUGCCAGCAGCCGCGGUACUACGGAGGAUGCGAGCGUUAUCCGGAUUUAUUGGGUUUAAAGGGAGCGUAGAUGGGUUGUUAAGUCAGUUGUGAAAGUUUGCGGCUCAACCGUAAAAUUGCAAUUGAUACUGGCAGUCGUGAGUACAGUUGAGGUAGGCGGAAUUCGUGGUGUAGCGGUGAAAUGCUUAGAUAUCACGAAGAACCCCGAUUGCGAAGGCAGCUUACUAAACUGUGACUGACAUUGAUGCUCGAAAGUGUGGGUAUCAAACAGGAUUAGAUACCCCAGUAGUC
RNAcentral lists this ribosomal RNA (460 nucleotides) under uncultured bacterium. RNAcentral's name for it is "partial 16S ribosomal RNA". It matches the Rfam family "Bacterial small subunit ribosomal RNA", at positions 338 to 795 of the family's 1533-position model. The record is from RNAcentral.